AUCCGGCUGGCGAGUCCGAAAUAGGACGAAACGCGCAUUUCGGAU
Molecule: non-coding RNA, 45 nt
Organism: Schistosoma margrebowiei
Lineage: Eukaryota; Metazoa; Platyhelminthes; Trematoda; Strigeidida; Schistosomatidae
Source: Rfam